GUUGAGACACCAGUUCCCGGAUGAUCACUGAAGUGAAGCAACAUCAAGCCUGGUCAGUAGUUAGAUGGGUGACCGCUUCGGAAUAACAGGUGCUGUAAG
Non-coding RNA from Acanthosepion pharaonis, 99 nucleotides. NCBI's taxonomy places the organism in Eukaryota, Metazoa, Mollusca, Cephalopoda, Sepiida, Sepiidae. The record is from the annotation of a GenBank genome assembly.